This 468-nucleotide ribosomal RNA is filed under the name uncultured bacterium. RNAcentral describes it as "partial 16S ribosomal RNA". It matches the Rfam family "Bacterial small subunit ribosomal RNA", at positions 28 to 507 of the family's 1533-position model. The record is from RNAcentral.
GACGAACGCUGGCGGCGUGCUUAACACAUGCAAGUCGAACGGAAAGGCCCUGCUUUUGUGGGGUGCUCGAGUGGCGAACGGGUGAGUAACACGUGAGUAACCUGCCCUUGACUUUGGGAUAACUUCAGGAAACUGGGGCUAAUACCGGAUAGGAGCUCCUGCUGCAUGGUGGGGGUUGGAAAGUUUCGGCGGUUGGGGAUGGACUCGCGGCUUAUCAGCUUGUUGGUGGGGUAGUGGCUUACCAAGGCUUUGACGGGUAGCCGGCCUGAGAGGGUGACCGGCCACAUUGGGACUGCGAUACGGCCCAGACUCCUACGGGCGGCAGCAGUGGGGAAUAUUGCACAGUGGGCGGAAGCCUGAUGCAGCAACGCCGCGUGCGGGAUGACGGCCUUCGGGUUGUAAACCGCUUUCGCCUGUGACGAAGCGUGAGUGACGGUAAUGGGUAAAGAAGCACCGGCUAACUACGUG